AGAGGAAGAAGAAAAGAAAGAAAGAAAGAGUAGCAGUUGGCAAACUUAUUUUCAUCGUGGUGAAGGCAGCAGUUCACAAACAUGUCCAGUCUUGUUACGUAAUAAAGCAGUAAAGGCAGCGGAUGCAUUUCCCAUCUGGAGUAAUAAACAAGCUUCUUCUGGAUCAGCCCAGCACCAUCACCCAGCAUAUCCUGUCUUCCUCCUGAACAAUAGCUGCUUUUGGGGCUAGAAUUGCUAUGUCCACUUUCAUUGCAGUGGUACUGCUGCCUGCAGCAUUAAUCACUGUGAACGCUGGAAACCAACCAACCAACCAACACCAACGCAGCAAGGACAAAAUGAAACCUAAGAACAGCA
Long non-coding RNA from Phasianus colchicus (ring-necked pheasant), 354 nucleotides. RefSeq lists it as uncharacterized. The record is from RefSeq and is a predicted model, not a curated record. Lineage: Eukaryota; Metazoa; Chordata; Aves; Galliformes; Phasianidae.